This 414-nucleotide ribosomal RNA is filed under the name uncultured Glomeraceae. RNAcentral's name for it is "partial 28S ribosomal RNA". The record is from RNAcentral. Lineage: Eukaryota; Fungi; Glomeromycota; Glomeromycetes; Glomerales; Glomeraceae.
GAGAGUAAAAUAGUACGUGAAAUUGUUGAAAGGGAAACGAUUGAAGCCAGUCGUACCUGCGGACAAUCAGCUUUUUGAGUGUGAUUAUGUGGAUUGUGAGGAGUUUAAUCACCCUCAUGUUUUACGUAUUCGUGCUCUUGGGUGUACUUGCCCGUGUGGUAGGUUAACAUCAAUUUUGGUCGUCAUAAAAUGACUGGAGGAAUGUAGCUUUGGUCUCGUAUCGAAGUGUUAUAGACUCUGGUAGAUGUGACGAUUGGGAUUGAGGAUUGCAACGGAUACCCUUCUGGGCUAUUCGUCUGAUCUCUGAAACGUUGCCUUGAUGUCGAAAGCUUGCUUAUGAUGUUAGGGUAUUACGGUCAAAAGGUUAGAACGGAUUAAAUUCGUUAAGGAUGUUGACGUAAUGACUUUAAACGA